This 486-nucleotide ribosomal RNA is filed under the name uncultured bacterium. Its description in RNAcentral is "partial 16S ribosomal RNA". It matches the Rfam family "Bacterial small subunit ribosomal RNA", at positions 30 to 507 of the family's 1533-position model. The record is from RNAcentral.
AUUGAACGCUGGCGGCAUGCCUUACACAUGCAAGUCGAACGGCAGCACGGGUGCUUGCACCUGGUGGCGAGUGGCGAACGGGUGAGUAGUACAUCGGAACAUGUCCUGUAGCGGGGGAUAGCCCGGCGAAAGCCGGAUUAAUACCGCAUACGAUCUACGGAUGAAAGCGGGGGACCUUCGGGCCUCGCGCUAUAGGGUUGGCCGAUGGCUGAUUAGCUAGUUGGUGGGGUAAAGGCCUACCAAGGCGACGAUCAGUAGCUGGUCUGAGAGGACGACCAGCCACACUGGGACUGAGACACGGCCCAGACUCCUACGGGAGGCAGCAGUGGGGAAUUUUGGACAAUGGGCGAAAGCCUGAUCCAGCAAUGCCGCGUGUGUGAAGAAGGCCUUCGGGUUGUAAAGCACUUUUGUCCGGAAAGAAAUCCUUGGCCCUAAUACGGUCGGGGGAUGACGGUACCGGAAGAAUAAGCACCGGCUAACUACGUG